Molecule: RNA transcript, 3187 nt
Organism: Solanum dulcamara
Lineage: Eukaryota; Viridiplantae; Streptophyta; Magnoliopsida; Solanales; Solanaceae
Gene name: probable protein phosphatase 2C 25
Exons: 5
Source: RefSeq, a predicted model, not a curated record
ACUCUAUCACAAUCUCCAUUAUAAAUCCAAAAAAAAAAAAAACGGGAAAAAAUUCGAACGUUAAAGAAAACGACAGAUCGGAAAAAGUAGCCGGAGAAAAUAUGUCUUGCACCGUCGCACUUUCAAAUUCGCCGGUGUUCUCGCCGUCUAGGGUUCCGGUACCGGCUUCUCUUCGUUGCAAAGUUUCUAGUUCUUCUUCAUCUUCUUCACCUGAAACCCUUACCCUAACCCACUCUCCUUCAAUGACCUCAUCUUCUCCUUCUUCUCCGUCGUCGCCGCUACGGAUUCUUCGUCUUCAGAAACCUCCACAGAGUAACCUUAUUAGAGCUUCUAAUACUGAUUGUUCUACUUCUACGGUUUUGAAGAGGAAGAGACCGACCAGGUUGGAUCUUCCGGUGACUUCGAUGAGUUUCGGGAAUUUUCCGGUGACUCCGGCUGGUGUAGCGGAUUUGGUGGAGGUUGAGGGUGAUGGAUAUUCUGUUUGCUGUAAAAGAGGGAGAAAAGGUGCAAUGGAGGAUCGUCACUCUGCAAUGGUUAAUCUCAAAGGAGAUUCCAAACAGGGUGUUUUUGGUAUAUUUGAUGGUCAUGGAGGAGUAAAAGCUGCAGAGUUUUCAGCAGAGAACUUGAAUAAGAACAUUAUGAAUGAAAUAGGGAAGACAACCGAUGACAAAAUUGAGGUGGCAGUGAAAAACGGUUAUCUUAAAACAGAUUCUGAAUUUCUCAACAAAGAAGUUCGGGGUGGAUCAUGCUGUGUGACAGCAUUGAUCCAAAAGGGCAAUUUAGUUGUAUCUAAUGCUGGGGAUUGUCGUGCUGUUGUGAGCAGAGGAGGGCUUGCUGAGGCAUUGACCUCUGAUCAUAGGCCUUCAAGGAAAGAUGAGAAGGAUAGGAUUGAGGCAUCGGGUGGCUAUGUAGAUUGUUGUCAUGGUGUUUGGAGAAUUCAGGGAUCUCUCGCUGUAUCAAGAGGUAUUGGGGAUCAGUAUCUUAAACAAUGGGUAACAGCAGAACCUGAGACGAAGAUUCUUGAACUUAAUCCUGAAUUGGAAUUCUUAGUCCUAGCAUCUGAUGGCUUAUGGGAUACUGUUAGCAACCAGGAAGCAGUAGAUAUUGCUCGUCCUUUGUGCACUGGCAUCAGUACACAGCAGCCCUUGUCAGCGUGUAGAAAGCUCAUUGACCUCUCUGUUUCACGAGGUUCACUUGAUGAUAUAAGUGUGAUGAUAAUUCUACUGGGACAAUUCUGUUGACAAGAUCCCCAAUUUAGGGAAUAACAAAAGGCAAAACAAAGGAAAAAAGAAGAAAAGGGAGGUUCCAGAUCUAAUUCUAAGCAACAAAAAGAGAAGCAAGUUCAUCCAGGGUAUUCUUUAGUGAAAUCUGCCACUAUUUAUACUACUCUAGCAACUAUUACUCUUGCUCAUUUGCUAACAUCUUAGGCAGAGUCUGUUUUCCUUUUACAUCUGGACCACGUAUUGAUCCAGGUAUUGUGACACUCAUUUGUACCUGGUACUACGUUUGUUGUUGUUCAACCUGUCCUGCUGAGUCGUUAUAUUACCGCCCCCAUGGAGAAGAACCUUGUCCUCAAGGUUCAAGUGAGGAAACUAUUGCAAGAGGGUAUAUGAGUACUCCCAAGUGGCAUCUUUAAUAGGCAAGCCUACCCAUUUGACAAGGCAUUGAGACACCUGAUGCGCCUCUUUGGUAACAUCCCUUUUGUUCAAAAUAACUUCAGGUGUAAGUAUGACAGAGGGAGUUUGGUCCAACAAAUCAAAUAGGUGUUAUUUGAUUAGUUGGUUUACCGAUACAUUUUCGUAGCACUGAAACAUGGAACACUAGAUGGAUUCGAGAAGAUGAUGGUAGAUCGAGUUUAUCAGCCACGUCACCAAUGUGUUUAAUGAUUUGGAAGGGCCAAAAGAAACGCUUACUCAAUUUGGAAUGACGUUAAAGACGAACUGAAAACUAUCUAUAUGAUCGAAGACGGGCAUACACCCAAUCACCGAUAUCAAAUAUCACCUCCCUACGACCUUUGUUUGCUUGAUACUUCAUCCUAUCUUGAGCCUACAGUAAAUUAGACUUCAACAGAGCUAAUGUCUCAUCGCGUUGUUGCAGAGAACUUGAAACUGCAGGAUUUGAAGUGUUGUCUAACACAAAAUGAGAGACAGUCGGAGUAGGCCGGACAUUUACAAGAUUAGCUCCUAGUAAGAAGAGAAUGCGAUGAUCCUGUAAUCGUGGAGGUGGUAAAGAGGAUGGGGUUGAAAAAUCUCUAGAUAGGAAAUCAAGAGAGUGGUUAAGUCAAGGGGGGUGGCCAUUUCCGACCAUAACUGAAAAACCAAAAGAAGGUUCAACAAGUAAUUUGAGUGCCUUGGCGGACGAGGCUGAAUAAAAUUGUGUGUGCUACCUCCGUCAAGGAGAAUCUACAUAGAAAGGCCUUUGAUAAAUGUAGUGACACGAAUCGUAAAGGGAUGAGGGCCACCGAACAAGGCAUGGUAACUAAUGUGAAGUAGAGAAGGGCUUUCAGUAGUGGUAUCUGGAGGUGGCGAAUUUGAUGGGGGUGGAGACGAAUCAGAAGGAGUGUCCUCUGUAGUGUCAUCAUCCUCAAGAAGUAAAAAAAGUUGAGGAAAGGAUGAACAUUUGUGACCAUUGUGAUAUUUUUCAUCACAAUUGAAACAAAGGUUAAGUUCACGUUUUCGCUGAAGCUCUGUGGGUGUUAGCUUUCUGAAUGAUGUACGACCAACGUCUGGAAUAGAUGCAGUCAGGGCUGAAGAGCUUGAAGAAAGGGUCGUAUUUUAGGGUUGGAAGAUGUGUGGAGGGAAUAUGGACUAGCAGGGUUUUUUGACAGAUAGUUGGGCCAGAUCGGCGUCCCAGCUUAGGCCAAUUUUUUUUGCUCUUGCGAAAAGGCCAAACUGAUUGCUUCAUUGAGAUCCCCGGGUCAAAAAACCAUGACAUUUGAUUUAAUAUCAGGGUGAAUUCCAGAGGUAAAAGAAGUGUUUCAUUAACGGCAGCUAUACCUCAGAGGUACGAUUGGCUAGUUUCUCAAAUUGAGAAAGAUAGUCACGAACGGAGAUUUUCAAUUUUCGAGGUGAAGAAAUUAUAAUUCAAAUUCAAUUCAAAUACUCUUAGAUUGGAUUGAAUUUUUAAGUUCAAUUUUAAAUAUUUUGAACUUUCAAUUUUAACUUUCGCAAAACUUACUAGAAGUCAA